UACGAAGGGGGCUAGCGUUGCUCGGAAUCACUGGGCGUAAAGGGUGCGUAGGCGGGUUUCUAAGUCAGAGGUGAAAGCCUGGAGCUCAACUCCAGAACUGCCUUUGAUACUGGAAGUCUUGAGUAUGGCAGAGGUGAGUGGAACUGCGAGUGUAGAGGUGAAAUUCGUAGAUAUUCGCAAGAACACCAGUGGCGAAGGCGGCUCACUGGGCCAUUACUGACGCUGAGGCACGAAAGCGUGGGGAGCAAACAGG
RNAcentral lists this ribosomal RNA (253 nucleotides) under uncultured bacterium. Its description in RNAcentral is "partial 16S ribosomal RNA". It matches the Rfam family "Bacterial small subunit ribosomal RNA", at positions 524 to 776 of the family's 1533-position model. RNAcentral also lists the same sequence under 1 other name. The record is from RNAcentral.